CGCAGCCGCGGUAAUUCCAGCUCCAAUAGCGUAUAUUAAAGUUGUUGCAGUUAAAAAGCUACGUAGUUGAAUUUCGGAAUCAGUACGCUGGUCGUGCCUUAGGUAUGCACUGGUGUCACUGGUUUCUCCCUUCUGACGAACCGUCAUGCCAUUAAUUUAGUGUGGCGGGAAAUCAGGACUGUUACUUUGAAAAAUUAGAGUGUUUAAAGCAGGCUCACGCUUGAAUACAUUAGCAUGGAAUAAUGAAAUAGGACGUUGAUCUUAUUUUGUUGGUUUCUAGGAUUGACGUAAUGAUUAAUAGGGAUAGUUGGGGGCAUUAGUAUUCAAUUGUCAGAGGUGAAAUUCUUGGAUUUAUUGAAGACUAACUACUGCGAAAGCAUUUGCCAAGGAUGUUUUCAUUAAUCAAGUAACGAAAUUAGGGGAUCGAAGACGAUCAGAUACCGUCGUAGUCUUAACCAUAAACCUAUGC
Molecule: ribosomal RNA, 469 nt
Filed under: uncultured Glomus
Lineage: Eukaryota; Fungi; Glomeromycota; Glomeromycetes; Glomerales; Glomeraceae
Description: SSU rRNA
Rfam family: Eukaryotic small subunit ribosomal RNA
Source: RNAcentral